RNAcentral lists this ribosomal RNA (404 nucleotides) under uncultured microorganism. RNAcentral's name for it is "bacterial SSU rRNA". It matches the Rfam family "Archaeal small subunit ribosomal RNA", at positions 330 to 735 of the family's 1478-position model. The record is from RNAcentral.
GUGCACCAGGCGCGAAACCUCCGCAAUACACGAAAGUGUGACGGGGCCAUCCCGAGUGCCGUCCGCUGAGGACGGCUUUUCCCCAGUGUACACAGCUGGGGGAAUAAGGAGAGGGCAAGCCUGGUGUCAGCCGCCGCGGUAAUACCAGCUCUCCGAGUGGUGGGGACGCUUAUUGGGCCUAAAGCAUCCGUAGCCGGCUGGGCAAGUCCUCCGUUAAAUCCAACGAUUCAAUCGUUGGGCUGCGGGGGAUACUGUCCAGCUUGGGGGCGGGAGAGGCCGACGGUAUUCCCGGGGUAGGGGUGAAAUCCUAUAAUCCCGGGAGGACCACCAGUGGCGAAGGCUGUCGGCUAGAACGCGCCCGACGGUGAGGGAUGAAAGCUGGGGGGAGCGAACCGGAUUAGAUA